GUUCCUGUCAGGACACAGCAUGGACAUGAGGGCCUCCACUCAGCUCCUGGGGCUGCUGCUGCUCUGGCUCCCAGGUUCCAGGUGUGCCAUCCAGAUGACCCAGUCUCCAUCCUCCCUGUCUGCAUCUGUAGGAGACACAGUCACCAUCACCUGCCAGGCCAGUCAGGGCAUUAGCAAUGAACUAAACUGGUAUCAGCAGAAACCAGGGAAAUCUCCUAAGCCCCUGAUCUAUUAUGCAUCCAGAUUGGAAACUGGGGUCCCAUCGAGGUUCAGAGGCAGUGGGUCUGGGACAGAUUUCACUCUCACCAUCAGUGGUUUAGAGACUGACGAUGUUGGAAAUUAUUACUGUCAACAAGAUUACAGUUACCCUCCCACAGUGUUACAAGGCUGA
Molecule: non-coding RNA, 391 nt
Organism: Otolemur garnettii (small-eared galago)
Lineage: Eukaryota; Metazoa; Chordata; Mammalia; Primates; Galagidae
Source: the annotation of a RefSeq genome assembly